Cryptomeria japonica (Japanese cedar) is the source of this 1599-nucleotide long non-coding RNA. RefSeq lists it as uncharacterized. The record is from RefSeq and is a predicted model, not a curated record. The transcript is spliced from 6 exons. Lineage: Eukaryota; Viridiplantae; Streptophyta; Pinopsida; Cupressales; Cupressaceae.
UUCUGAUACGCCUUGUAAUGUUCAAUUUCGUCAUUGAGAAAAUAUGGUAAAGAUUGUUAAAAUAGUCAUUCAAAUAUCUACGCAUAGAAGGAUUAAUGGAAUAGGUGGUAUUAAAAAAAUAAAUUUUAUUCAAUCAAUGGAUAAUUAUGCGGGGAGAGGUUCAAGCGGUGGAAGCAUUGUUUCUACAAGAGGAGAGCAUCCAUCUAUAGAUUUCAAAAAGAAAGACCAUCAAAAGGGAACGAUAAUAACAUUGUUUCUACAAGAGGAGAGCAUCCAUCUAUAGAUUUCAAUGGCUUAUCAAUGGCUAUUUACGAUGUUGAAACAUAUAUUAAAGUUCAAAAAAUGCCGUCAGACGAAAGCUUCAAUAUAUAAAUUCAAAUAUAGUCAUUGAGAAAAUACAGUGAGAUUGUUAGUUCCUUCAUAGCGGAGGCAGCGAUGCUUAAACUGUUAUUAAUCCGUUUAACAUAUAUUAAAGUUAAAAAAUGCCGUCAGACGAAAGCUUCAAUAUGUAAAUUCAAAUAUUAAUCCGUUUAACAUAUAUUAAAGUUCAAAAAAUGCCGUCAGACGAAAGCUUCAAUAUAUAAAUUCAAAUAUAGUCAUUGAGAAAAUACAGUGAGAUUGUUAGUUCCUGCAUAGCGGAGGCAGCGAUGCUUAAACUGUUAUUAAUCCGUUUCCAUUCAACCAAUCAAAGUGCCAGAAUUCUUUGCAUAAAUUUGUUUCUGAAUAUUUGUUAGGUACAAGUUGCAUAUAUUUUACGCAAAUUAUUGAUUCAAAAUAUUUUGGCAGUGUUUCAUUGGCAUAGCAGAUGGUUGCCAGAAGGGUUCCCAGAUAUCAACGGGAGAGAACGCACAUAAAACUAUGUCUGUGUCAGUACGGUGCAGAUCAUUAUUAGUAUGGCUGACAACAAUGGAAUAACGGGGAUUUUCAAGAACAAGAUGGCAUCCGUUCACCUAACCACAUGUCUUGCGUGUGCUUUGCAUGUACUUUUGCUUUCACUCCGUGACUUUCCUAUGUCGUCUUUGAUUUGUUUCCACGUUCCCGUGGACGCAAACCGAGCUUCAUUCACAUGCAAUAACACUGUACUGCCAACUCUGUUUCCCAUCACCAAAAGACUAAUAUACAACCUCGGCUUUUUAUCCCUACAUACUUCAAUCUGAGAUUGCUGUACAGAGAGUAGAAAAAAGUCUGGUAGCAUCCGGUCUUGUAGCCUCGAGCAUCGCAUGUUUGUUCGUUUGUUAAAGAAAGGGGAUUCGAAGUUUCGGCCUUAGGGAUCAACCAUGGUAGUCUGUAUGUGCCAGAAGGAAACACAACUAUAUUGCUGUACGCAUAAGGUUCCUGUAUGUGGAGAUUGCAUCUGCUUUCCUGAACACAGUGCUUGUGAGGAAUGAGAUUAUUUAUUAGCAUAGGACAAGGCUAAUCAUGGAAGGAUUGUGCUCAGAUGUUUUUCAUAAUUUGUGCUUGCUUCUACUUUUGAAAGGAUCCUCAUCUCAAACUGGUUACACAUGUCCUUCAUGCAAAUCACAGUUGUGGUUGCAAGAUCUCUCUCUAGUUGCAAAGAAGGAUCAAGGAUAGCUAGAGGAUUCAACAUCAAGCUUCAGC